UUCCGGUUGUCCUGCCGGAGCCCUGCUACGUGGAAGCGGCUAGCCAUGCAGUGGUGGGCGUUCCGAAGGUAUGGCCCCGCCACGGCUCAGUACACGUAGUUAACCUGCCCUCGUGACAGGAACAACGCCGGGAAACUGGCGAUAAUUCCAGAUAGGUGGGGGCGCUGGAAUGCCUCCUUGCCUAAAUCCUCUGGGGCCCGAGGAUGGACUGCGGCCUAUCAGGUGUUGGCGGUUAACGGACCACCAAACCUACAACGGGACGGGCGAUGGAGUCGGAGCCCGGAGAUGGGGACUAAGACAAGGCCCCAGGGCCCUACGGGGCGCAGCAGGUACGAAAACUCCGCAAUGCGCGAAAGCGUGACGGGGGAACCCCAAGUGCCGUUGGUCUUUGAUCGACGGCUUUUAGGGAGUCUAAGAAGCUCCCAGAAUAAGGGCUGGGCAAGUCGGGUGCCGGCCGCCGCGGUAAUACCCGCAGCCCAAGUGGUGGUCGCGAUUAUUGGGCCUAAAGCGCUCGUAGCCGGGUCAGCAAGUCCCUUGUGAAAUCGGGCGGCCUAACCGUUCGGCUUGCAAGGGAUACUGUUGGUCUUGAGGCCGGGAGACGUCUGAGGUACUCCGGGGGUAGCGGUAAAAUGCUGUAAUCCUCGGGGGACCACCAGUGGCGAAGGCGUCAGACGAGAACGGACCUGACGGUGAGGGGCGAAGGCUAGGGGAGCGAACGGGAUUAGAUACCCCGGUAGUCCUAGCUGUAAAGCAUGCGGGCCAGGUGUCUGGUGUUCCUUGAGAGCACCAAGUGCCGGAGGGAAGCCGUUAAGCCCGCCGCCUGGGAAGUACGGUCGCAAGGCUGAAACUUAAAGGAAUUGGCGGGA
RNAcentral lists this ribosomal RNA (866 nucleotides) under uncultured archaeon. RNAcentral describes it as "bacterial SSU rRNA". It matches the Rfam family "Archaeal small subunit ribosomal RNA", at positions 1 to 873 of the family's 1478-position model. The record is from RNAcentral.